Molecule: long non-coding RNA, 1353 nt
Organism: Megalobrama amblycephala (Wuchang bream)
Lineage: Eukaryota; Metazoa; Chordata; Actinopteri; Cypriniformes; Xenocyprididae
Exons: 5
Source: RefSeq, a predicted model, not a curated record
CAGCACGGGUGGACAUGGUUACUUUGCAUGCAAUGGGGUGGAACCACAAAAAAAAGUCUCUCUCUACAUCAGGCACUUUCCACAAGAUAUGUGAAGACUUGUCUGAGACUCCAGGAUGAGACUGCAAGGCUAGCUGAACUCAAAACAGAGCUACACUGCACAGAUGAAUUGGUGUCACAGUGGCUCUCUGAUGUGAAGGAAUGGGCAGCUGAUGAUACAUCUCAUGCCACUCGAGGCACCACACACAGAGGACUUCAGCAGUCAAUUGAGGGCCUUUACCUUAGUGUGAGGCAGCGGAAGCAAACUCUCUACCGCCAGAAUGAUUCCUGCAGUGCUGACCCAGGAGACGACAGGUGUGAGAACCUGGGAGACCCUUGCACAGUUUCUUAACAGAGCCAAGACGGUUCCUGAAUCUGUCGAGAGGGUCUGGUUCUCCAGGAGGGUGCUGAGGAGUUUUGUAGAUGAUGACGGGACCAGGGAUUGCUUUAUACAUGAAUUACCCAGAAACCCAGAUCCAAACAAUAGAAGGGUUUACAAACAGAACAAGAUGAAAUCAAGAAGAAACAGGUCAAGAAAGAGGAGAAGAACCACGAAAGUGGAAGGAAUGAAGAUGGACCCGAAGGCCAAAGAGAUGCUUAAAUUACUAAGACAGCAGCAAAGAAUUAAUUUGAAAUUGAUUAUGCUUAUUAAACAAUCAUGUAUGUUGAAUACUUUUAUGUGUGACCUGGAACAGACUACAAACGAGGUUGAAGCUUUGAAUACAAAAGCUUCAGUGCCGGUUGAGUCUGAAUAUUGUGUGUAAAGGCCAAAAAGGUUAAAAUGCAAACUGGCCAAGAUGUAUGCUUUAUUUUUCAUUUUUUAGAAGUGUUAAGGAAAGCUAACCACAAUGUAUGCUUUAAUUGCUGAGCAAGAAGCCUUAAGGGGAACUAGUACUAACCAAGCUAACCACUAUGGGUGUUUCGGUUGCUGAAACGAGAAGUAUUAAGAGGAACUGGUAUGGACCAAGACGUAUACCUUUACCGCAAGCUAACCAAUAUGUGUGUUUUUUAAUGCGAGCUAAGCAAGCUGUAUGCCUUUUUGCAGAACUAAAAUUGUUAAAAAAAUAGCCAGUGUGAAGGUCAUGAAGUUCAAGUUAGUAAAAAGUGUUAAAAGUCGCAUAGCCUGUAGAUGACCUGUGUAUCUUAUACUUUGACAUACAAGGAGAUGAUUCAUGUCAGGAAAAGGAUGUGUUCAGACUAUAUACAGGUCCUUCUCAAAAAAUUAGCAUAUUGUGAUAAAAGUUCAUUAUUUUCAAUUAUGUAAUGAUAAAAAUUAAACUUUCAUAUAUUUUAGAUUCAUUGCACACCAACUGAA